UCUUCUGUGGUGUAAUAGGUAGCACAAAAGCUUUUGGCGCUUUUAGUAAGGGUUCGAGUCCUUUCGGAAGAA
RNAcentral lists this transfer RNA (72 nucleotides) under Spirochaetaceae bacterium. RNAcentral describes it as "tRNA-Gln". It matches the Rfam family "tRNA". Rfam says of the family: Transfer RNA (tRNA) molecules are approximately 80 nucleotides in length. Their secondary structure includes four short double-helical elements and three loops (D, anti-codon, and T loops). Lineage: Bacteria; Pseudomonadati; Spirochaetota; Spirochaetia; Spirochaetales; Spirochaetaceae. The record is from RNAcentral.